This 262-nucleotide long non-coding RNA is filed under the name Nicotiana benthamiana. RNAcentral describes it as "long non-coding RNA (NBEN_LNC005669)". The record is from RNAcentral. Lineage: Eukaryota; Viridiplantae; Streptophyta; Magnoliopsida; Solanales; Solanaceae.
GCAGUUGACCUUGGGCGCAUCAAAGCCUAAUUUCAGGUUCUUCCACCGGAAGUUGGUACCUCCCGCUCUCUUGUUUACUUUGUAUACCUUUUUACGUAUUGUACCUAGCAUUCCGUGUGAGGUUUACUCUGGUGCUAUCUAGUUUGCCCCUUUUGCGUAUUUCGCUAUAAUGCGUGUGUGCGUCACUAUUCCCCAUAGUUGGUUGGAGGGAUAGUGGCCGCGGUGGGGGUUGAUAGUGUAAGGUCAUGUCCUCGGGGGGCGG